UAAAUAUAGGAUGAAUGUUAAACAUUCCAAUCGUAUGGAAUUAAGAGACCAAAAAAGGAGAGAAAGAAAAAGAGGAGAUGGAAGUGUUUAAAAAAACAAAACAACCUUGGAUAAUAACUAGAACCGCUCAUCUUUAUGAGGUAAAAAAAUUAUUAAGACUUGAAAAGUGGUAAAGGCCUGUAUGUACAAGAGAAAUUCAAUCAAAGUGCGUGCAUGGCUUUAGGGAAAUUGUAUAUACAUAAUUAAAAAAAUGAAAAGAUGUUAAGAUUAGGAAAUUUAUACCAUACCACCUAAAUCGAUGAAUGCAGUGACCAUUGAAUAUAAAAAAAAAGAGAAUGUGUGGUUUAAUGGAAUAUUUGGGAAGAAGAAGCUGUAGGAAGAAUUAAAUGAGGUGGGGGGACGGGAGGUAGAGAGGAAUGGUUGGCAUCGUAGUCUUCAACGGACAAUCUAGGAUUCGUGGGGUUUUGUACACCAUAUGAAUAAUCAUUGACAUUGUCAGACACGAAAACAUCUUGCGUGUAAUAAUCAUCAACCAUAUAAGGACUGGGAAAAGAAGGCAAGGGAUCAUCCUCAUAUGUGAAUAAAGAAGAUUCGCGAGGCACCGAAACAUGCUCUUCCCUGGAAGGAGGAGUUGGAGGAAGAGGAUGCGAGACAGGUACCUUUUUGCGAGGUUUGGAGGGUUUGGAGGGUUUUUUAGGUACAGGAGUUAAAGCGGCGACACUAGAAUAUGGAAAUUGUAAAACUGGCUUAGAAGAAGCACGGUCAAAGUAUAGAGGAUCAGUGGGGAUAAACUUGAAUUGCACAGAUAGCUCGCCAGCAAAUU
Non-coding RNA from Schizosaccharomyces pombe (fission yeast), 823 nucleotides. The record is from the annotation of a GenBank genome assembly. NCBI's taxonomy places the organism in Eukaryota, Fungi, Ascomycota, Schizosaccharomycetes, Schizosaccharomycetales, Schizosaccharomycetaceae.